CUGUACUGAUGUAUUAGAGAAGCAGGAAGUUAGCUGUUGUUGAGUUACAUGUGGCUGUAUCCAUACUGCACCUGGGCUAGCUCAAAGAUCAUGUAGGUCAGCAGGAAACAGCAAUUGUAAGAGAUGGCAACAAGAUAAAACAGCUAAUGGAGGUGAAAAGUGGCAGUCAGUCAGCACUGAGAGGCUCAUAACGGUCAGAUGAUGCUGAGCCCUGAUGUUUCUGAGAUCUAAAGGGGCUGUCAAGAGCUAUUUAAAGCCCAUGGGAAUUUUGUUUGUUUUUUUCCAACUGUAUGACUUGGGAAAUAAAAGCAGUUAGUACAACUUAAUGCUAAAGUCUUACAGUGCUCUUGAUUUCCUUCUAUGUUUCCAUCUCUGGCUACAAAGAGGAAAACUGGAAGUGUUGCAUCCUUG
RNAcentral lists this long non-coding RNA (411 nucleotides) under Gallus gallus (chicken). RNAcentral describes it as "long non-coding RNA NONGGAT002892". Lineage: Eukaryota; Metazoa; Chordata; Aves; Galliformes; Phasianidae. The record is from RNAcentral.